UACGAAGGGGGCUAGCGUUGCUCGGAAUCACUGGGCGUAAAGGGUGCGUAGGCGGGUCUUUAAGUCAGGGGUGAAAUCCUGGAGCUCAACUCCAGAACUGCCCUUGAUACUGAGGAUCUUGAGUUCGGGAGAGGUGAGUGGAACUGCGAGUGUAGAGGUGAAAUUCGUAGAUGUCGCAAGAACACCAGUGGCGAAGGCGGCUCACUGGCCCGAUACUGACGCUGAGGCACGAAAGCGUGGGGAGCAAACAGG
RNAcentral lists this ribosomal RNA (252 nucleotides) under uncultured bacterium. RNAcentral describes it as "partial 16S ribosomal RNA". It matches the Rfam family "Bacterial small subunit ribosomal RNA", at positions 524 to 776 of the family's 1533-position model. The record is from RNAcentral.